Molecule: ribosomal RNA, 492 nt
Filed under: uncultured bacterium
Lineage: Bacteria
Description: partial 16S ribosomal RNA
Rfam family: Bacterial small subunit ribosomal RNA
Source: RNAcentral
AGUGAACGCUGGCGGUAGGCCUAACACAUGCAAGUCGAACGGCAGCACAGUAAGAGCUUGCUCUUACGGGUGGCGAGUGGCGGACGAGUGAGGAAUACAUCGGAAUCUACUUUUUCGUGGGGGAUAACGUAGGGAAACUUACGCUAAUACCGCAUACGACCUACGGGUGAAAGCAGGGGAUCUUCGGACCUUGCGCGAUUGAAUGAGCCGAUGUCGGAUUAGCUAGUUGGCGGGGUAAAGGCCCACAAAGGCGACGAUCCGUAGCUGGUCUGAGAGGAUGAUCAGCCACACUGGAACUGAGACACGGUCCAGACUCCUACGGGAAGCAGCAGUGGGGAAUAUUGGACAAUGGGCGCAAGCCUGAUCCAGCCAUACCGCGUGGGUGAAGAAGGCCUUCGGGUUGUAAAGCCCUUUUGUUGGGAAAGAAAAGCAGCAGGUUAAUACCCCGCUGUUCUGACGGUACCCAAAGAAUAAGCACCGGCUAACUUCGUG